This 264-nucleotide ribosomal RNA is filed under the name uncultured bacterium. Its description in RNAcentral is "partial 16S ribosomal RNA". The record is from RNAcentral.
CUGCUGCCUUCCGUAGGAGUUUGAGCCGUGUCUCAGUCCCAAUGUGGCCGAUCAACCUCUCAAUUCGGCUACGCAUCAUUGCCUUGGUAAGCCUUUACCCUACCAACUAGCUAAUGCGCCGCGGGCCCAUCCAAAAGCGGUAGUAUAGCCACCUUUUACAUAGUUACCAUGCGGUAACUAUGGUUAUGCGGUAUUAGCACCUGUUUCCAAGUGUUAUCCCCCUCUUUUGGGCAGGUUGCCCACGUGUUACUCACCCGUUCGCCA